RNAcentral lists this transfer RNA (77 nucleotides) under Bacillota bacterium. Its description in RNAcentral is "tRNA-Arg". It matches the Rfam family "tRNA". Rfam says of the family: Transfer RNA (tRNA) molecules are approximately 80 nucleotides in length. Lineage: Bacteria; Bacillati; Bacillota. RNAcentral also lists the same sequence under 1 other name. The record is from RNAcentral.
GCGCCCAUAGCUCAGCGGAUCAGAGCGGCUGACUACGGAUCAGCAGGUCGGGGGUUCAAAUCCUCCUGGGCGCACCA